GCAAGUCGAACGGCAGCAAUUCGGUUGGCGAGUGGCGCACGGGUGAGUAACGCGUACAGACCUGCCUUGUACUGGAGGAUAGCCCCGGGAAACUGGGAGUAAUACUCCAUAGUAUCGAAAGAUUAAAGCUCCGGCGGUACAAGAUGGCUGUGCGUCUGAUUAGCUAGUUGGUGAGGUAACUGCUCACCAAGGCUCCGACGGGUAGCUGGUCUGAGAGGACGAUC
RNAcentral lists this ribosomal RNA (224 nucleotides) under uncultured bacterium. Its description in RNAcentral is "partial 16S ribosomal RNA". It matches the Rfam family "Bacterial small subunit ribosomal RNA", at positions 57 to 305 of the family's 1533-position model. The record is from RNAcentral.